GACGAACGCUGGCGGCGUGCUUAACACAUGCAAGUCGAACGGAAAGGCCCUGCUUUUGUGGGGUGCUCGAGUGGCGAACGGGUGAGUAACACGUGAGUAACCUGCCCUUGACUUUGGGAUAACUUCAGGAAACUGGGGCUAAUACCGGAUAGGAGCUCCUGCUGCAUGGUGGGGGUUGGAAAGUUUCGGCGGUCGGGGAUGGACUCGCGGCUUAUCAGCUUGUUGGUGGGGUAGUGGCUUACCAAGGCUUUGACGGGUAGCCGGCCUGAGAGGGUGACCGGCCACAUUGGGACUGAGAUACGGCCCAGACUCCUACGGGAGGCAGCAGUGGGGAAUAUUGCACAAUGGGCGGAAGCCUGAUGCAGCAACGCCGCGUGCGGGAUGACGGCCUUCGGGUUGUAAACCGCUUUCGCCUGUGACGAAGCGUGAGUGACGGUAAUGGGUAAAGAAGCACCGGCUAACUACAUG
Molecule: ribosomal RNA, 468 nt
Filed under: uncultured bacterium
Lineage: Bacteria
Description: partial 16S ribosomal RNA
Rfam family: Bacterial small subunit ribosomal RNA
Source: RNAcentral